RNAcentral lists this ribosomal RNA (338 nucleotides) under uncultured fungus. RNAcentral describes it as "eukaryotic LSU rRNA". The record is from RNAcentral. Lineage: Eukaryota; Fungi.
AGAGUUAAAAGUACGUGAAAUUGCUAAAAGGGAAACGUUUGACACCAGUAUUUGGAAGUCGGAAAUCAGCCUUCUUUUUGGAGGUGCACUUUCCGGCUACCAGGUCAACAUCAGUUUUGCCUGCCGUAAAAAAGCCAAGAGAAGGUAGGGUAAAACCGUUAUAGCUCUGGCCGAUGCGGUGGGCGGGACUGAGGACAGCGACGCAUGCUCACGCUGGCUUUACUGUAUCUGUGAUGGAAAGGGGGGUGGACAGCGUGCUGACCAUCCUUCUCUUCCAAUGCACCUGCGGAACAAGCACAAAUGCGCCUAGGAUGUUGACGAAAUGGUUUUAAAUGACC